This 290-nucleotide long non-coding RNA is filed under the name Triticum aestivum (bread wheat). RNAcentral describes it as "long non-coding RNA (TAES_LNC015895)". Lineage: Eukaryota; Viridiplantae; Streptophyta; Magnoliopsida; Poales; Poaceae. The record is from RNAcentral.
UGCAAUGCUGUCGGUGUGCAUGCAUGACUCUGCAGGCUGCGUGUGGGCUCGCCAUGAAAUGGCGCGCGCGCGCGCACACACAAAACAACUCGUCGAAACUGCUCGUAAUUUAGUUACUUUCCUUUUUCAGUUACGUUAUGGUGCAUUCUGCUGAGUAUCCAAGGAAUUUCAGGUCGCUCUCAUCAGCUAGCUCGCGCUCGCUAGAGUCGAAGAAAUGAAUAAUAUUAAGUUUUCCACUUUAGAUAUAUGUCAGCCGACUGAAUUUUUAUUUUGGAUCAGUCGAAUUUGUU